CACGUAGGGGACGAGCGUUGUCCGGAUUCAUUGGGCGUAAAGCGCACGUAGGCGGCCUGAUAAGUCGGAUGUGAAAUCCCUCGGCUCAACUGAGGACGUGCAUUCGAAACUGCCAGGCUCGAGUAUGGAAGAGGGUCGCGGAAUUCCCGGUGUAGUGGUGGAAUGCGUAGAUAUCGGGAGGAACACCAGUGGCGCAGGCGGCGUCCUGGACCGGCACUGACGCUGAGGAGCGAAAGCGUGGGGAGCGAUCCGG
Molecule: ribosomal RNA, 253 nt
Filed under: uncultured bacterium
Lineage: Bacteria
Description: partial 16S ribosomal RNA
Rfam family: Bacterial small subunit ribosomal RNA
Source: RNAcentral